RNAcentral lists this ribosomal RNA (483 nucleotides) under uncultured bacterium. RNAcentral describes it as "partial 16S ribosomal RNA". It matches the Rfam family "Bacterial small subunit ribosomal RNA", at positions 28 to 523 of the family's 1533-position model. The record is from RNAcentral.
GACGAACGCUGGCGGCGUGCUUAACACAUGCAAGUCGAACGAUGAAGCCGCUUCGGUGGUGGAUUAGUGGCGAACGGGUGAGUAACACGUGGGCAAUCUGCCCUGCACUCUGGGACAAGCCCUGGAAACGGGGUCUAAUACCGGAUACGACCAUCGGCCGCAUGGCCUGGGGGUGGAAAGCUCUGGUGGUGCAGGAUGAGCCCGCGGCCUAUCAGCUUGUUGGUGGGGUGAUGGCCUACCAAGGCGACGACGGGUAGCCGGCCUGAGAGGGCGACCGGCCACACUGGGACUGAGACACGGCCCAGACUCCUACGGGAGGCAGCAGUGGGGAAUAUUGCACAAUGGGCGCAAGCCUGAUGCAGCGACGCCGCGUGAGGGAUGACGGCCUUCGGGUUGUAAACCUCUUUCAGCAGGGAAGAAGCUUUCGGGUGACGGUACCUGCAGAAGAAGCACCGGCUAAUUACGUGCCAGCCGCCGCGGUAA